CGCUUUGAAGUGACCACACCUUAAAGCUGACGUUUUCAGAAGAGCACCUUGUUUUAAGAUCUCAUUUUGUCCAAAAUUGCGUCCUAUGACAGAUAUAAUACUUAUUUCAUUAUUGCUCUGUGUAUGUGUGACCUUAAUCAUUUGAGGUUAUGUGUUGAUUUCACCUCUGAAUAUUUCCUCUUAUAGGUCCAUCAUCCUUGCAUGCGCUACACACUCAAAAGCAUUGAUAAAUGCUGAAUUUAAAAGAAUCACUACUGUCUUAUGUUCCUGCGUGUCACCUGGACCUCCAAUCCAAAAACCUGACGAAACUCUUCUAUCAGAAAGGAGGACAGCUAGCAAAAAGACUUCAAACAAUGAAUGAUCAAAUGACAGAAGGCAUGGAUGAAGUCAGCAUCAGUGUGGUCAUUUGAAGACACCACUGUUGGGAUUUGUGCUCUCAAACAACAUGCUUCUUGUGAUGAAGAAGAGGAUCUUUGUAUAGUCCUGGAAGGCAUGAAGGUGUUGCAACAUCGUGCCAUGUUGUUUGAGCUGAUGUAUGCCUUAAACCUGAGCUAUCCUGAUCUCUGCUUUAUUUUUGAAGAAAUCCAAAAGAUUUUAAUGGAACUGCAUUGAGCGUAACUUUAACGAACCGUUUCUUUCAGUGAAAGGAUCAGAAAGACUGUGCUGCUCAUUUAUGUUCUUUUUAUUUAUCAGUUUUAAGUGUUUUUUCUUAUUAAAACAUUAACCGUUUGCUGCUCAGAGUUGAUUUUGGAAAUGGUUGUUGUAUUUUGUUUUUGUUGAAUCUUUGAUUAUCAGUUUAUACAAAUGCUUUAGCUCUGACUUUCUGAAGGAUUGAUAUUUUCCAGUUUGUAAAUCCAUUUAAAAAAUAAUAGUACUUACUGUUUUGCAUGUCUCUUUGGAAUGCAGUGUUUGUGCUUUAGCACUUCUAAAUCUACUGUGAUAGUAACUAUUUUAAACAUUUGGGUCAGUUUUACAGAUUGGGCUUUUUCUAGUCCCAGACUUUUGCAAUGCCUUAAUUUGAAAACAUAUUGCACUGACAUAUCUUGACAUAUAUCAGUGCCAUUGUUUUGUCUCAAGAUGUACUCCAGUGUUGUUUUUGUAAGGUAGGUUUGUUUGUAAACUUUUUUUGUAAGAAAUAUCCUAAUAUAACUAGGGCCUAGUCAUGGCUUAAUCCACAA
Molecule: non-coding RNA, 1178 nt
Organism: Paramisgurnus dabryanus
Lineage: Eukaryota; Metazoa; Chordata; Actinopteri; Cypriniformes; Cobitidae
Source: RefSeq, a predicted model, not a curated record